UUGUUAAAGACUGACUUAUGCGAAAGCAUUUGCCAAGGAUGUUUUCAUCGAUCAAGAACGAAAGU
Molecule: ribosomal RNA, 65 nt
Filed under: uncultured eukaryote
Lineage: Eukaryota
Description: partial small subunit ribosomal RNA
Source: RNAcentral